This is a long non-coding RNA of Heterocephalus glaber (naked mole-rat), 1018 nucleotides long. NCBI's taxonomy places the organism in Eukaryota, Metazoa, Chordata, Mammalia, Rodentia, Bathyergidae. The record is from Ensembl.
GUAAGAUGCGCGCCAUCCUCCUGGGCUAAGAAAUGUCGUUCCUUCGGCCUUAAUUAGUAGGAAACCCUUCUUUCCAAGUUUUAAUGAGCACUUGUUCUCUAGAGCAGUCACUAGGUGGUCCCCAUGGGCCAAGACCUGGAAGAACUGUUCCCAUACAGUUGGAUAGCUUAUUGUACUUACCCCGGAUUAAUAAGAUACUAAGAGUCUCAUGGUCUCCAGGUCUACCAUAUCAGAAGGUAGAAAAGGCCUCCCAUGUAAACCUUAAAUGGACUCAACCCUGUUUUUGGUGUUUUGAAUCACAGGGUUAUUGGCAAUAAUCGGAGCCAAGACUCAGUCUCUUGGCAAAGUUUUGUCAGUUUGCUUUAGGGUCUAGCUGGCCCUCUUGACUGUUCUGGAGGACUGAGAUCUCCAUGGAGAAUAGAGACGGGAGAUAGUACUUUAUCCCUACAGCCUUUGCCACCUCAAGUUUUUUGAGAGGUAAAAUGUUAUUGCCACUCUGAAGGAACUGGAGCAGUCCAAACCAGGGAAUUUCUUUGAAGGAAGCACCUCAACACUACCUCCAUAGCCUUCUUUGAACAGGACUGGAGCCCAGGAGAUGUGGGAGCUUUGAAUGCUCGGGAGCUAAACCUGGCCUUAGCAGACUGACUGUGCCUUUUCCAAAGCCGCAUCCUUCUCCGACUCAUGAUAUAUCCGAGGCACGUGUCAAAGUCCACAUAAGACAAUGGCUUUGCUAUUGUCAACACCAGCAACUCAUAGGCAACGCCAGACCCAGCCUCUUCUGUCCAUCAGCUUGCUGCUGUACUGCAGAAUAACUACUUCAGUGCUGCUUAGGAGUUGAAGGAUUCCUGAUGUCUUCUGCAGCCUCUGGUGAGAAAUCUCUUCCAGGCAUCUGACAGCUCCCUGGCUGACAAGUGCGAGUCCGAUCUGGAGAAGGUGCUGGCUCCAGUAGCCUGAGGGUGACCCUGGUGAGAUAUGAUUGUGCAGCAAACUGUUACCUCCCUGCCUUUUCCUGAAGGAU